GUCGAUUGCCCUGAAAAGUCGAUUGGGUUGACUGUGAGCCCGAGCAAAACAAUCGGUGUAGAUUUUGGUUGAUUUUCUGAGAAAAUCAAUUGGGUUGAUUAUGAUCCCAUGUAAAACAAUCAGACUAUAAUCUUAGAUAAAUUAUAGUAAAAUUCUCAAGAAAAAAGUUUUGGAGAGUAAACGUAGGUACAGAGUUGGCACCAAACUACUAUAAAUCUUAUAUGUUUGUAUUGCUUGUGUUGCGUGCAUUUAUUUCUUACAUAUCUACUUAUUAUUCUCUUGUUGAAAUUAAUAUUCAUCUAUUAAGUUUUAAUUUUCUUGUAUUAUUUAGCUAAAGUUUAUGAAAAAUCCAAUUCAUCCUCCCUCUUGGGCUGCAUAGUUGGGCAAUAGAGCCUCUUAGAUAGCCACUCUGAUAUUGAUCUAAUGUUUGAUAUUGGGCUAGCCACCCCAUUUGAGAGAAGAUCGCGACAGGUGUCACUCUACCCAUAACUCUGCAUUCACCCUAGCCUCCUUUGCUAUGAAACUAUCCAAUUAAGGAGGCAAUUUUGCUUCGUCAGGCUUUGACUGCUACUGCUAUCCUUCAAGCUAACCACCAUUGGAUCCUCAUCAUAUAAAAAAUCAUUAUGAAGUGGAUUAUCAUACUUCAGCUCUACCUCCCCUUGCACUCACUUCAGGCUAAGCUUUAGAUUAUAGUGCACAUAUUGAGCUAUUCAAUCAUUUCUAUGUCAGGCGGUUUCACCAUAUGCUAUAGAUUAGGAUGAAGUUUGAUUAGUUGCACUCACAACAGUUGAUAAAGACUUGUUUGUGAGAGUAUCUGAAUUGCUAACUUUCUGAGAAGAAAAGCAUAU
Molecule: long non-coding RNA, 848 nt
Filed under: Phoenix dactylifera (date palm)
Lineage: Eukaryota; Viridiplantae; Streptophyta; Magnoliopsida; Arecales; Arecaceae
Description: long non-coding RNA (PDAC_LNC014158)
Source: RNAcentral